Symphalangus syndactylus (siamang) is the source of this 356-nucleotide long non-coding RNA. RefSeq lists it as uncharacterized. NCBI's taxonomy places the organism in Eukaryota, Metazoa, Chordata, Mammalia, Primates, Hylobatidae. The record is from RefSeq and is a predicted model, not a curated record.
UGGAGGAACACAGGUCAGCCCAUGAUGCCUUGCCCAGCUCACUUCAAACGUGCUGAGCCUCAGUGUCUUCAUCAACAAAAUGAGGUGGAUCAGAGGGGGCCAUGGACCUCCUGGUACCUCUUCACCCCUUUGCUCACCAGUUUGGUUAUUCCCUCCAGGCUAAACCAUCUGCUAAGGCCACACUGGACCUUGAAAAGAUACUAAUUGUGAAGGUGAUGGUGACUGCGACACCAGCAAUGGCUGUCUCCUCACCCUGCUCCCCACUGAUCCCAGCAUUCCUCAAGGGGCCUCAGCCAUCCGGAUGGUGCCAGGAACAAAUCAGCCUACAGGUGCAGACCUGCUCAGAUUAGACAGAU